UACCACCACCGCUGCCAUCGCUGCAGGGACAGGAAGCAGAAGUCCUUGGAGAAGGGGCCUAGCCUGUCCGCAGACACAGAUGGCGCACCCAGCAGUGCUGCAGGGCCAGGCCCACCCCCGAGAGAGGGGCCCACAGCCUGCCGGACAGAGCGCAGACAGGAGCGGGGCCGGUCCCAAGAGCGGAGGCAGCCCUCUUCCUCUUUCUCGGAGAAGCAGCGUUUCUACUCCUGUGACCGCUUUGGGGGCCGGGAGCCCUCGCAGCCCAAACCCUCCCUCAGCAGCCACCCCACAUCACCAACAGCUGGGCAGGAGCCAGGACCCUCGAGACCAGGUGGUGGUUCAGUGAAUGGGAGCCCCUUGUUGUCAACAUCCGGUGCUAGCACCCCUGGCCGUGGUGGGCGGAGGCAGCUCCCCCCGACUUCGCUGACCCCCCGUCCCAGU
Callorhinus ursinus (northern fur seal) is the source of this 441-nucleotide non-coding RNA. The record is from RefSeq and is a predicted model, not a curated record. Lineage: Eukaryota; Metazoa; Chordata; Mammalia; Carnivora; Otariidae.